CAAACUGGGAUUAGAUACCCCACUAUGCUUAGCCGUAAACUUAGAUAUGUAAACCUAACAAACAUAUUCGCCAGAGAACUACUAGCAAUUGCUUAAAACUCAAAGGACUUGGCGGUGCUUUAUAUCCAUCUAGAGGAGCCUGUUCUAUAAUCGAUAAACCCCGAUUCACCUCACCAUCUCUUGCUAAGUCAGCCUAUAUACCGCCAUCUUCAGCAAACCCUAAUUAAGGCACUCUAAGUAAGCCAAAACAUACAACAUAAAAACGUUAGGUCAAGGUGUAGCCAAUGAGGUGGGAAGAAAUGGGCUACAUUUUCUUGCCCUAAGAAAACUAACGGAAACUCUUAUGAAACUGAAGAGGAUAAGGAGGAUUUAGCAGUAAAUUGAACUUAGAAAGCUCAAUUGAACUGAGCAAUGAAGCACG
RNAcentral lists this ribosomal RNA (421 nucleotides) under Castor canadensis (American beaver). Its description in RNAcentral is "partial 12S ribosomal RNA". It matches the Rfam family "Bacterial small subunit ribosomal RNA", at positions 768 to 1383 of the family's 1533-position model. Lineage: Eukaryota; Metazoa; Chordata; Mammalia; Rodentia; Castoridae. The record is from RNAcentral.